This is a long non-coding RNA of Conger conger (European conger), 2438 nucleotides long. RefSeq lists it as uncharacterized. The transcript has 4 exons. NCBI's taxonomy places the organism in Eukaryota, Metazoa, Chordata, Actinopteri, Anguilliformes, Congridae. The record is from RefSeq and is a predicted model, not a curated record.
AAUUGUGGUCGAUGUGUGCGCACAGUAUCACCAGUUAAAGGUGUGUUGGAGUUCAAAAGUCUCGGCCCAGCACCAUGUCGUAGGAAGUGCAAAUGAUUAUUUAUACACCAUCUGUGGUCUGUGAACCACCACAUCGGCCAUUCCUGUUAGCUGAAUAGAAAAUGCAGUAUGGCCAUGUUGUGAAGGUUGCACCUGCACUGAAUUACUGUUUAAGGCCAGAGUUUGUGAAAUGUUAAGUAAUGAAAGCAUAAAAGUUAGACCCAUUCAUACACACACUCACACACUCACACACUCACACACCGACGGCUGCCAUGCAAGGCACCGACCAGCUCGUCAGGAGCAUUUUGGGGUUAGGUGUCUUGCUCAGGGACACUUCAACACAGCCUGGGCGGGGGAUCGAACCGGCAACCCUCCGACUGCCAGACGACUGUUCUUACUGCCUGAGCCAUGUCGCCCCUAACGACCGAUUAUUCAUGAGGUUUGAGGCAAUCCCAAGAUAAGGAUUUCCAAGGAUUUGCACCUUUAAUAUUUUGCAAAUCUAAUUUAAAUUUGACAUCAGACUGAUCUGUGGGCUAUAUUUUCUGGUGAUGAUACAACACGAAGUCCAAGUUCUCUCCAGAUUCCGGUGAAGCCACGGCGAUGCCACACACAGCUGGGAGACAACGCUCUGUGACCACAGAAACCAAAAACAUGGUAGUCCCCGAGACAGAAGCAGGACUCCACUGUGCGAAAGAAGACGAUACUGAGGCCCUCUCGGUGAUUAUUUGCACUGCAGUUAGGCCUGUUUUCCUUCUGAAUGCUGGGAUUGUGAAAGAGGGUGUUUUGUACAGCUGUUCUACCAAAAUAUUUCUUGGAAUAACAUUGUGAUCUGUGGGUUUGGGACUCCGGUGGGAAGCCCUGUUUGUCUUUGAAAGGAGGAGACUUGCGGAGAGGCAAAAGGAUCUAAAACGCUCAACUGGAAACAAAACACGGACGAUAUCACUCCUCUGUUCCAGCACGAGGACAGGCCAUGAGGCGCUCGCGAAAACACCCGGCCGCCCCCUCCUCCCUCCCAGGCUCCAUGGCGGGUGGCAUUUCAUGGGGAGGUGCGGUGCUAGUUUGUGUCGCCGUGCGAAUUCCAGAGAGAAUUCGGAUUCUUAAAAUUCACAUAGUCUCGCUGCGUGCGGACAUCCUCCUCCCCCCCCCCCCCCCCCGCCCGGACAUCGCGCUAGUUUGACCGGAGCGCAAAGUGACAGUCUAUCUUGAUGUUAUUGCGUGAGGGAGGCUGAGGCUAGGCUAACGCUAACGGCGCUGUUCCUUCAGGUUGUUUUGUCUGCCGCUGGCUGGACUGGCACGGGUAAUGGGUGCCUGAUGGGGGAGAUGUUGGCCCGAGUGCCCACAGACUCUGGGAACAACGAAGAUUUUAAAAAUACGCCUGGAUCUGGUUCUGUUUUGCAACAUACUAUGGCUAUCUCCAGCGUGACCCUCAGUUCUCCCAAAGUGGAAGUUGCUGAUUAGCUUCGCACGCUAUUCAGACUCAAGUGGCUCCUCCAUCUAUGCCUUAUGAAACUUCUGCAAUGCUGUACAUCAUAGCUUGUGUCCCUGUCCGAAUACAUGACGAUCAUCACACUGUACAAUGUCUCCGUAAGAUAAGGGGUUCGGUUACACUUUCCAGGAAACCGAGACCCUUCCAGGAGAUUGCGACGAGCCACUGGGGAAAUGUUCAGCCAAUCAUCAUCUCUGUGACGCGGUGGGAGAGAGACGACUUCUGGAAUAGCCCUGAGGGUCGGCGUGUGCUGGUUUAGACCGGUUCCUGUUUCUCCUUCGCAGACAUGUAAAUACAGGCCGGGACGGCAGCCAGUAUUAGUCACCCCUCAGUCCGGAGAGAGAGGGAGAGGGGGGAGCGAGAGAGACUGCCAAGGCUACACCCACCCACACACAAACAGCUUCCCAGCAUCCUCUGAGUCUUGGCCGCGGAGCGGGGUAGCGGGGUGAUGGCGAAGCCUCCCAACGCCGGCACUAGGGACGCCAGGGUGGUUGUGUCUGCGACAGUCGGCGGAGAGAGAGCAGACGUAAACAGGCAGGAAUGUGUAGCCGAGGCAGCAGAUCCAGGUGGUGAAGUCUGGAGCCCUGUGUACAGGCCUGGAUAUAGACACAUUGUGUUCGUCUUAGCGCUGAGCUCUGUGGAUUUCCUCCAAAAGGCUGGGAGAAGUUCCCCUCACCCCAUUACCCAACUACUUUGGGAGGAGCGGGGAUACUGAUGUUUUUGUGUUGGUUUGUUGGUUUGUUAUUUUCUCUUCUUUGGUUAUUAUUAGGGAGCCAGUCAGUGCAGAUAUAGGUACCCUCGCAGGUACCCGCCUCAUCCGCUCUGUGUUUUGUUUUUUGUUUUUUGUAGUUUCUUUUCGUUCUGCUUAUUGGGAAGUUGGCAAUAAAAUCCACAAGGUCUAUUUUGAACUGAA